RNAcentral lists this ribosomal RNA (429 nucleotides) under Chloroflexota bacterium. RNAcentral describes it as "Chloroflexi bacterium partial 16S ribosomal RNA". It matches the Rfam family "Bacterial small subunit ribosomal RNA", at positions 355 to 776 of the family's 1533-position model. Lineage: Bacteria; Bacillati; Chloroflexota. The record is from RNAcentral.
UGGGGAAUAUUGCACAAUGGGCGCAAGCCUGAUGCAGCCUUGCCGCUUGUAUGAAGAAGGCCUUCGGGUUGUAAAGUACUUUCAGCGGGGAGGAAGGGAGUAAAGUUAAUACCUUUGCUCAUUGACGUUACCCGCAGAAGAAGCACCGGCUAACUCCGUGCCAGCAGCCGCGGUAAUACGGAGGGUGCAAGCGUUAAUCGGAAUUACUGGGCGUAAAGCGCACGCAGGCGGUUUGUUAAGUCAGAUGUGAAAUCCCCGGGCUCAACCUGGGAACUGCAUCUGAUACUGGCAAGCUUGAGUCUCGUAGAGGGGGGUAGAAUUCCAGGUGUAGCGGUGAAAUGCGUAGAGAUCUGGAGGAAUACCGGUGGCGAAGGCGGCCCCCUGGACGAAGACUGACGCUCAGGUGCGAAAGCGUGGGGAGCAAACAGG